RNAcentral lists this ribosomal RNA (253 nucleotides) under uncultured bacterium. Its description in RNAcentral is "partial 16S ribosomal RNA". It matches the Rfam family "Bacterial small subunit ribosomal RNA", at positions 524 to 776 of the family's 1533-position model. The record is from RNAcentral.
CACGUAGGGCGCAAGCGUUGUCCGGAAUUAUUGGGCGUAAAGAGCUCGUAGGCGGUCUGUUGCGUUCGCUGUGAAAACUCGGGGCUUAACCCCGAGCCUGCAGUGGAUACGGGCAGACUAGAGGUAGGUAGGGGAGAAUGGAAUUCCCGGUGUAGCGGUGAAAUGCGCAGAUAUCGGGAGGAACACCGGUGGCGAAGGCGGUUCUCUGGGCCUUACCUGACGCUGAGGAGCGAAAGCGUGGGGAGCGAACAGG